CCUACGGGAGGCUGCAGUGGGGAAUAUUGGGCAAUGGGCGCAAGCCUGACCCAGCAACGCCGCGUGAAGGAAGAAGGCUUUCGGGUUGUAAACUUCUUUUCUCAGGGACGAAGCAAGUGACGGUACCUGAGGAAUAAGCCACGGCUAACUACGGGCCAGCAGCCGCGGUAAUACGUAGGUGGCAAGCGUUAUCCGGAUUUACUGGGUGGAAAGGGCGUGUAGGCGGGAACGCAAGUCAGAUGUGAAAACCAUGGGCUCAACCUGUGGACUGCAUUUGAAACUGUUUUUCUUGAGUACAGGAGAGGCAGGCGGAAUUCCUGGUGUAGCGGUGAAAUGCGUAGAUAUUAGGAGGAACACCAGUGGCGAAGGCGGUCUGCUGGACAGCAACUGACGCUGAGGCGCGAAAGCGUGGGGAGCAAACAGGAUUAGAUACCCGAGUAGUC
Molecule: ribosomal RNA, 443 nt
Filed under: uncultured bacterium
Lineage: Bacteria
Description: partial 16S ribosomal RNA
Rfam family: Bacterial small subunit ribosomal RNA
Source: RNAcentral